This is a long non-coding RNA of Phymastichus coffea, 861 nucleotides long. RefSeq lists it as uncharacterized. The record is from RefSeq and is a predicted model, not a curated record. The transcript has 3 exons. NCBI's taxonomy places the organism in Eukaryota, Metazoa, Arthropoda, Insecta, Hymenoptera, Eulophidae.
CGCGGCUAAUGUGCCUUAUACACUUUUCAAUUCCCCUCUCCAGACGAAAUCGAAUGGUUUUAAAUUAAUGGAUGACGUGAAACUUACUUGCGAGAAUAAUGUUUUUAUCGAUGAUCAUCUAUACAAGUUAUUUACAAGUAAUUCGUCAAAUUGAUUUGUCUUCGAAACUACGAUUCAUGCAGUGUAUUAUUACCAAUAUUAUGGAAUGUGCAGAGUGAAGCAUGAUCAAGGUCUAUUAUGUGAUGAACGAGGGCUAUGGAGCAGAUUACGACUAGUAGGUUGCGACUGAUGAAGCCGAUGCAGGGCGUUGCCAAGGACAUCGGGGCUCGAGUACAGUAGUGGCACCCGCUCCUCUGUGUGCGCGUGAGGCAUGGGAAGAAGACGUAGCACGAGCAAACAAGGAACGAAAAACAAACAAACGAUAAGGUGCCAAAAUUAUAAAUAAUACCCAAAAAAUGAAGAAAACUUAAAGAUAUAUACGUAAAUCAUAUGUAUAUUGAGAAUCACGCCAUGCGGUUUUAUUUAAAAUAAAUCCGAUUCAUUUGAAUGUGCAACUAAAUACUUUUACGUGUGUCAAACUUUUCUUCGCUAGUUGCGUCAAUAUACUCAUAAAAGCUACGUAUUAAAAGUAAAUAACGAUUUUAGAAAUAUACUGGUUUCGCUUAUUCGUUCGGAAUUUAAUUAUUACAUGAAAUUUUUUUGUCACUAUGCACACAACAUGAUUCCCCAUAAUAAUGUAUCCGACUAAUCAACGGGAAUAACAAGUCACAUGUACCAUGAAACGGAGAAUCACCUGUAGAAGCACUUGCCUCAAACAUGCAAACAGGGCAUGCGAUUGAAAUAAAAAACUACAAACAGAAA